UGCCUGUGGGCGGGCGGCUAUACAUGCAGUCGAGCGAAUGGAUUAAGAGCUUGCUCUUAUGAAGUUAGCGGCGGACGGGUGAGUAACACGUGGGUAACCUGCCCAUAAGACUGGGAUAACUCCGGGAAACCGGGGCUAAUACCGGAUAACAUUUUGAACCGCAUGGUUCGAAAUUGAAAGGCGGCUUCGGCUGUCACUUAUGGAUGGACCCGCGUCGCAUUAGCUAGUUGGUGAGGUAACGGCUCACCAAGGCAACGAUGCGUAGCCGACCUGAGAGGGUGAUCGGCCACACUGGGACUGAGACACGGCCCAGACUCCUACGGGAGGCAGCAGUAGGGAAUCUUCCGCAAUGGACGAAAGUCUGACGGAGCAACGCCGCGUGAGUGAUGAAGGCUUUCGGGUCGUAAAACUCUGUUGUUAGGGAAGAACAAGUGCUAGUUGAAUAAGCUGGCACCUUGACGGUACCUAACCAGAAAGCCACGGCUAACUACGUGCCAGCAGCCGCGGUAAUACGUAGGUGGCAAGCGUUAUCCGGAAUUAUUGGGCGUAAAGCGCGCGCAGGUGGUUUCUUAAGUCUGAUGUGAAAGCCCACGGCUCAACCGUGGAGGGUCAUUGGAAACUGGGAGACUUGAGUGCAGAAGAGGAAAGUGGAAUUCCAUGUUGUAGCGGUGAAAUGCGUAGAGAUAUGGAGGAACACCAGUUGGCGAAAGCGACUUUCUGGUCUGUAACUGACACUGAAGGCGCGAAAGCGUGGGGAGCAAACAUGAUUAGAUACCCUGGUAGUCCACGCCGUAAACGAUGAGUGCUAAGUGUUAGAGGGUUCCGCCCUUAGUGCUGAAGUAACGCAUAAGCACUCGCCUGGGAGUACGGCGCAAGCUGAACUCAAGGAAUGACCGCGGCCGCACAAGCGUGAGCAUGUGUUUAUCGAGCACGCGAGAUCUUACCAGUCUGACAUCUCUGACAUCUAGAGAUAGGACUCUCCUCAGAGCGAUGACAGUGGUGCAUGAAUGUCUCAGCUCAGUCCUGAAGUUAGUCAGUCGCACAGGCACUGACUAUGCAUCCUAUGGACCUCAGUACUGCGUGCACGAGAUCACGGACUA
This 1100-nucleotide ribosomal RNA is filed under the name Bacillus sp. (in: firmicutes). Its description in RNAcentral is "bacterial SSU rRNA". It matches the Rfam family "Bacterial small subunit ribosomal RNA", at positions 34 to 1089 of the family's 1533-position model. The record is from RNAcentral. Lineage: Bacteria; Bacillati; Bacillota; Bacilli; Caryophanales; Bacillaceae.